Molecule: ribosomal RNA, 253 nt
Filed under: uncultured bacterium
Lineage: Bacteria
Description: partial 16S ribosomal RNA
Rfam family: Bacterial small subunit ribosomal RNA
Source: RNAcentral
UACGGGGGGGGCAAGCGUUGUUCGGAAUUACUGGGCGUAAAGGGCGCGUAGGCGGUCGGAUAAGUCAGCUGUGAAAACCACGGGCUUAACUCGUGGCCUGCAGUUGAGACUGUCUGGCUUGAGUGUGGGAGAGGAGAGUGGAAUUCCUGGUGUAGCGGUGAAAUGCGUAGAUAUCAGGAGGAACACCGGUGGCGAAGGCGGCUCUCUGGACCACAACUGACGCUGAGGCGCGAAAGCUAGGGGAGCAAACAGG